This is a long non-coding RNA of Eriocheir sinensis (Chinese mitten crab), 2158 nucleotides long. RefSeq lists it as uncharacterized. The record is from RefSeq and is a predicted model, not a curated record. Lineage: Eukaryota; Metazoa; Arthropoda; Malacostraca; Decapoda; Varunidae. The transcript has 5 exons.
UGGGCCUCAGAGGUCUGGAGAAGAAGAGAAGUGAAUGAAGAAACAGUCAGCAUCACUGGACGGGCCACCACCGCUGCAGACCCGGAUCCAAAAGUUAACUUGGAUUCAUCUCUGGACGGGGCAACGCUGGGCCUGGUUCCCACAGCCAUGAAGAGGGACCAUUUAGAAACAUGAUCCCUGCUGCUACCACUGGGUUAAACAGGAUCAGUCACACCUGUUGGACUCACAUGCAGAGACGACUGGCCCAGACACAGAAGAAGAAGAGGCAGGCCACUCUGGCAGCACGGCAAGAUGGAGCAGAUGGAGCAGACCACCAGUGUUCAGGAGCAGCUGUUGGGUGACAAGGCCCCGGAGGUGUGUGUGACCUCAGUUGUGGCAGCCUAGGACAACACUCCUGCCUCCUCCAGUGUUCAGGAGCAGCAGUUGGGUGAGAAGGACCCAGAGGUGUGUAUGACCUCAGUGGUGGCAGCCUGGGACAACACUCCUGCCUCCACCAACUCGCCCAUUGACCUGUGUGCAUGUGUGUGAGAGAGGAUCAUGCCUGCUUGUGACAAUGCAUGUUGAUGCUAACUUUAUGGUAUGGUUCCUGAUGAUGCAGACCUUUAUGGAUACUUUUUCCUACCACAGGUUACCCAUCCUGGAGGGGGACACUGAAGAGUACCUCAGUUGUGGCACAAGUAGGAGCCAGGAAAUUAAAGUCACCAGCAGAGUAUUUGAACCAGUCUUGUAGAAGUAUUAUACAGCCUUCUGUGAUGUUUUUACCAUACAGUGGGGAUAAUCUCAAGACAAAACAUCACCGUCUCUGUGGCUGCUUGGGUGUGGACACUGCUUCUGGCCAGGUUGACAAACAAGCUUUGCGUUGGAAAUUUAUUUGCACCAGAGUGUUACAAUACUUUGAAGAGUCUCCCUAAACAAAUGCUCAGUGAUACAGCAGGAAAAAAUUAUUAAAAAAAAAAAAAAAAAGAAAAAGGUGGGAAGUCUAGGACUUUUAAACUUUGGCUGCUUAGUACUAAAAAUAAUUAGCACAAGUCUGACGAAAAAGUUUUGGCAGCAGACAGUCACUGGAGAGCCCCAGCAAAGAGGUCCAGGAGGUGGUGGCCAAGGCAGCAGCUGAAGAGGGAAGGAACACGGCAGACAGUCACUGGAGAGCCCCAGCAAAGAGGUCCAGGUGGUGGUGGCCAAGGCAGCAGCUGAAGAGGGAAGGAACACGGCAGACAGUCACUGGAGAGCCCCAGCAAAGAGGUCCAGGUGGUGGUGGCCAAGGCAGCAGCUGAAGAGGGAAGGAACACGGCAGACAGUCACUGGAGAGCCCCAGCAAUGAGGUCCAGGAGGUGGUGGUGCAGCAGAUGUCCAGCAAGGUGGCACCUGAAGAGGGAAGGACAGCAUUUAGACUGGAGACAAAUGAGGCGACUGGAGGUUAUGUCACCCAGGAUGAAAACUAAAACAAAACCACAGCAGCUAACAGGAAGAUGCUUUUGCAGGGAAAUCUAGAACUCUUUAUAGGCAUUAAAGGUUACAAAAAGAAUGAUCUGAACUAGUUUCCUUCACCUGGCACUCCUGUAAUACAAGUCAUGCCAUCUCACACACCUCACUGUAUGCACGAUUACUCCAUAACUAUUCACUAUAAUACAUUUUUUUGUGGAUCAACUGUUUGAAUGCUUAGGAAUGUUCACCACCACUGCCUUUAACAGAUAGCCAGCCCAGAUGUCCUCUAACUCCCACACAAGUCCUGCUCUCACUUACAUGAAUUUCCCACAUCCCUUCUCUAACAUAACAGCAGGUUUAGCUCGGUCCUUCUCACUGUCAGACCCAAGCCACCAUUGUCCCCCUACGACUUCCUUCCCUGUCCCAAAGUCCAGCGUCCAAGGUUUUAUUCUGCCACUCUCCUACUCAAUUUUUCCCUGUCACCAUCUUUGUAUAGUUUCAAUUCUUAUCUCUUCCCUCAGUCCACCAGUUUUUCCUACUCCAUCCUGUCCCCUUAACCCGGUAUCAGCAACGGGCCAAAUUUGUAGCUUUACCGUGUAGCAGUGACGGGCCAAAUUUGUGGCUUUACUGUGUAGCAGCGACGGGCCAAAUUUGUGGCUUUACCGUGUAGCAGUGACGGGCCAAAUUUGUGGCUUUACUGUGUAGCAGUGACGGGCCAAAUUUGUGGCUUUAC